GAAAUAUAUUAUUAAUUAUUUAAGAAAAAUAAGGAUUAAUUAUGAACAAUGAUGCUCUGAACUUGGAAAACUGCAAUCUAAUCCAACUUAAUAUACUCAAUAGUCAACUGAAAAGUAAAUACAAGAAGAAAAGAAUAAAAUGAAAAAGACACUCAUUCUCCCACCCUUUCUGAAGCCUGCCUGAUCUUUACAAUGGGAUGCACUCCAUAUCUGUUUAACUUAUCACAGAAAUGCUAGUUAGAAACUACAAUAUUAACUACUGACUCUGUUGGCAUACCAGGUCAGGUACUAAUGCUUGCAAGGCAUCUUCGAAUCCAAUACAUUAUGUUAUUUUGUUGUCCGGUCUGACCAGCGACAGCGAGUAUCUUGCAUCAUAUCCACAAAUUCACUGUAAUCAAUGCGUCCAUCGUUAUCUUGGUCAACUUCACGUAUUAGAUCUGCCAGUUGAAUAUCGCCCAAGCCAAAUUGGUCACAAGCCUGUUGGAGCUCAUCUUGAGUGAUGUACCCACUUCCAUCUUUAUCAAAGUAUGAGAAGGCUGCAAAUAGAUGAUCCUCCUUGUCAAUCUUGUUUAGAUGAAGCAUCGCUGCUAUGAAUUCGCCAUAGUCUAUGGUACCACUGUUGUCAAUAUCUGCUGCUUGCAUCAACCCAAUAAUUUCAGAAUCCUUGAGAUUAGCUCCCACUCUUUCCAAACCCUUCUUCAGUUCCUCAAGAGUAAUCUGUCCACUAUUGUCUGCGUCUAUCAUCUUGAACAUUUCUUUUAGGCCUGCAAUUUCUUCUUCAGACAGGCUUUCGGCAAUGACCUGUUUAGAAAAAGAAAAUGGCAGUCAUCCCCAGAGAAUCUAGGUGGUAGCAAAUAACAAGUCAGCAAAGCAGAUAUUUAGAUAGGAACCUCUUUAAACACUAAAAGCUGACAAUAAUUUUACUUCUUUCUUAUCUCUGAUUUUCAAAAACCUCCGUGCAAUUCAACCAAGAUGACUCAAUAAAGAAGAAAAAGAAGAGAAAAUGAUUCUGUUAAAAAUUUGGAAUAUCUCCUUGCAAAAUCAAUAUUUUGCUGGCAGACAUUUCACAUGCCCUGGUAAAUGUACUCAAAAUAGAAGAGCACCCUUGACAACACUUCAUAUGAUAACUUUUUUGGAAUGGUCAUGACCAACUUUUUGAAGGAAGAUAAAAACUCACUCGAAUGGCAAUUCUCUUGAUUUUGUUCAUGGCUGAGAAUUGCUUCAAGCGACUUAGAACUGCAGAAUCAAGAGGUUUAUCAGGGGCAACGCCAUCCACCUGAACCCAAGGGUGGCAGAGAACUUCAUGGGCCGUCAUCCGCUUUUUAGGGUCCCUCACUAGCAUUCUUCUGAUCAGAUCUUUUGCACUUUCAGAUAUAUUAGGCCACGGUUCUGAUAUGAAGUCUAGUUCACCUCUUAAAACCUGUUCAAAUAUUCCUUGUUCCGUUUCAUCCCAGAAUGGGGGAACACCACUUAGUAAAAUAUAAAUGAUGACCCCGGCACUCCAAACAUCACAUUCUCGACCAUAAUGUUUUUUCAACACUUCUGGGGCUACAUAGUAGGGGCUCCCAACAACAUCAGAGAAAGUUUCACCUGGCCUGAAGAAAACUGAGAGCCCAAAAUCUAUUGUUUUAAGCGGUGCCUCCUCGUCCUGACUGACAAAUAGAAAAUUCUCAGGCUUCAAGUCCCGGUGCAUAACACCUAAAGAAUGGCAUGCUUCCACAACGCCAACUAUCAACCUUGCAAGCUCAGCAGCCCUUCUCUCAGUAUAAUGCCCCCUCUGAAUAAUUCUAUCAAAAAGUUCCCCACCUGCACAAAGUUCCAUAACAACAUGAACUGCAACAGCAUCCUCAUAAGCAUCCAAAAUCUUUAUCACAUUGGGGUGACCCUCCAAAUGGUGCAUUAUCUGAAUUU
RNAcentral lists this unclassified non-coding RNA (1911 nucleotides) under Hevea brasiliensis (rubber tree). The record is from RNAcentral. Lineage: Eukaryota; Viridiplantae; Streptophyta; Magnoliopsida; Malpighiales; Euphorbiaceae.